UGAUAAGAAGAGGACUUGAACCUCCGUCUUCGGGGCUACAACCCGCCGCCUGUCUCUCGGCCAUCUUACC
Molecule: transfer RNA, 70 nt
Filed under: Alytes muletensis (Mallorcan midwife toad)
Lineage: Eukaryota; Metazoa; Chordata; Amphibia; Anura; Alytidae
Description: tRNA-Tyr
Source: RNAcentral